Molecule: ribosomal RNA, 207 nt
Filed under: uncultured bacterium
Lineage: Bacteria
Description: partial 16S ribosomal RNA
Rfam family: Bacterial small subunit ribosomal RNA
Source: RNAcentral
CGCGUAGGCGGGUCCGCAAGUCGGUCGUGAAAUCCUUCGGCUCAACUGAAGGGGGUCGGUCGAUACUGCGGGUCUUGAGGGAUGCAGAGGAGACUGGAAUUCCCGGUGUAGCGGUGAAAUGUGUAGAGAUCGGGAGGAACACCGGUGGCGAAGGCGGGUCUCUGGGUAUCUCCUGACGCUGAGGCGCGAAAGCGUGGGGAGCAAACG